UCAAGAUAUAAAAUAAAUACAGAUUUGUGUUCUUCACAUCCAUGCAAGAAUGGCACUACCUGCAUUGACCAACCUGCUAAUUACUUCUGCCGUUGUGUGGCUCCAUUUAAAGAUUCUUACCAUGAUUUGGCGCCUUGUGAGACUACUGAUCCUUGUGAGAAUGGUGCUGUGUUUGGAAAGAAAAUGGAUCUGGAAAUAUCUCCUCUUGGGUACCAGUGCCAAUGUGCAAAAGGCUUUGCAGGUCCACACUGUGAGGUCAAUGUCAAUGAGUGCAGUUCCAGCCCUUGCUUGCAUGGAUAUUGCUAUGACAUGGUUAAUGGCUUCUCCUGCUUAUGCAAUCCGGGUUUUGCUGGCUUGAGGUGUGAACAGGACAUUGAUGAUUGUAUCCUGAAUGCCUGUGAGCACAAUUCUACCUGCAAAGAUCUUCAUCUCGUUAGUAUCCAUGAAUAUUAUUAACUUAUCUUACUGUGGGAUAGCAUAAAUUAAUCCCUACAAAUACAGUUAACAUUUGUGUGUAUGUCAAGUUGAGAUAUAUAUAUAUAUAUAUAUAUAGAGAGAGAGAGAGAGAGAGAGAGAUUAGAAAACAGAAACUUAAGAAAUAUUAUUUUAACUUAUAUAUUUACUUAUUUAUAUAUAUAUUUACUUAUAUAUUUAACUUAUAUUAUUUUAACUUAAUAAUAAAAAAGUGUUCC
RNAcentral lists this long non-coding RNA (692 nucleotides) under Neogale vison (American mink). Its description in RNAcentral is "Neovison vison (American mink) lncRNA (ENSNVIG00000013751.1)". The record is from RNAcentral. Lineage: Eukaryota; Metazoa; Chordata; Mammalia; Carnivora; Mustelidae.